RNAcentral lists this ribosomal RNA (488 nucleotides) under uncultured Brevibacterium sp. RNAcentral's name for it is "bacterial SSU rRNA". It matches the Rfam family "Bacterial small subunit ribosomal RNA", at positions 9 to 507 of the family's 1533-position model. Lineage: Bacteria; Bacillati; Actinomycetota; Actinomycetes; Micrococcales; Brevibacteriaceae. The record is from RNAcentral.
GAGUUUGAUCCUGGCUCAGGACGAACGCUGGCUGCGUGCUUAACACAUGCAAGUCGAACGCUGAAGCCGACAGCUUGCUGUUGGUGGAUGAGUGGCGAACGGGUGAGUAACACGUGAGUAACCUGCCCCUGAUUUCGGGAUAAGCCUGGGAAACUGGGUCUAAUACCGGAUACGACCAACCCUCGCAUGAGGGUUGGUGGAAAGUUUUUCGAUCGGGGAUGGGCUCGCGGCCUAUCAGCUUGUUGGUGGGGUAAUGGCCCACCAAGGCGACGACGGGUAGCCGGCCUGAGAGGGCGACCGGCCACACUGGGACUGAGACACGGCCCAGACUCCUACGGGAGGCAGCAGUGGGGAAUAUUGCACAAUGGGGGAAACCCUGAUGCAGCGACGCAGCGUGCGGGAUGACGGCCUUCGGGUUGUAAACCGCUUUCAGCAGGGAAGAAGCGAAAGUGACGGUACCUGCAGAAGAAGUACCGGCUAACUACGUA